Molecule: non-coding RNA, 30 nt
Filed under: Rattus norvegicus (Norway rat)
Lineage: Eukaryota; Metazoa; Chordata; Mammalia; Rodentia; Muridae
Source: RNAcentral
UGCAAAACAUGGUGAGAGCCCUGCAGACUU